UUGAACGCUGGCGGCAGGCCUAACACAUGCAAGUCGAACGGUAACAGGAAGCAGCUUGCUGCUUGCUGACGAGUGGCGGACGGGUGAGUAAUGUCUGGGAAACUGCCUGGAUGGAGGGGGGUAACUACUGGAAACGGUAGCUAAUACCGCAUAACGUCGCAAGACCAAAGAGGGGGACCUUCGGGCCUCUUGCCAUCAGAUGUGCCCAGAUGGGAUUAGCUUGUUGGUGGGGUAACGGCUCACCAAGGCGACGAUCCCUAGCUGGUCUGAGAGGAUGACCAGCCACACUGGAACUGAGACACGGUCCAGACUCCUACGGGAGGCAGCAGUGGGGAAUAUUGCACAAUGGGCGCAAGCCUGAUGCAGCCAUGCCGCGUGUAUGAAGAAGGCCUUCGGGUUGUAAAGUACUUUCAGCGGGGAGGAAGGUGUUGUGGUUAAUAACCACAGCAAUUGACGUUACCCGCAGAAGAAGCACCGGCUAACUCCGUGCCAGCAGCUGC
RNAcentral lists this ribosomal RNA (500 nucleotides) under uncultured bacterium. RNAcentral's name for it is "bacterial SSU rRNA". It matches the Rfam family "Bacterial small subunit ribosomal RNA", at positions 30 to 518 of the family's 1533-position model. The record is from RNAcentral.